GCGCAGCAGGCGAGAAACUUCACAAUGUGCGAAAGCACGAUGAGGGAAUCCCAAGUGCUUGCACGUAAGUGUAAGCUGUUUCUCUGUCUAAAACGCAGAGAGAGUAAGGGCUGGGUAAGACGGGUGCCAGCCGCCGCGGUAAUACCUGCAGCUCGAGUGGUGACCGUUAUUAUUGGGCCUAAAACGUCCGUAGCCGGUUUAAUAAAUGCCUGGGUAAAUCGGACCGCUUAACGGUUCGAAUUCCGGGUAGACUGUUAAACUUGAGACCGGGAGAAGUUAGAGGUACUCCUGGGGUAGAGGUGAAAUUCUGUAAUCCUAGGGGACCACCAGUGGCGAAGGCGUCUAACUAGAACGGGUCUGACGGUGAGGGACGAAGCCCUGGGGCGCAAAC
This 391-nucleotide ribosomal RNA is filed under the name uncultured microorganism. RNAcentral describes it as "bacterial SSU rRNA". It matches the Rfam family "Archaeal small subunit ribosomal RNA", at positions 330 to 724 of the family's 1478-position model. The record is from RNAcentral.